This 30-nucleotide non-coding RNA is filed under the name Mus musculus (house mouse). Lineage: Eukaryota; Metazoa; Chordata; Mammalia; Rodentia; Muridae. The record is from RNAcentral.
UGGUUUUGAUGAAGUGAGCCAUGCCUGUGU